UUGCAAGCGCACAAGUCUAUUGAAGUAUAAGUUAAGAAUAACGAGAUUGAACUCAAAUAAAUUGUCAAAUUUUAAGAAAGCCAAAUAUGAUCUAAGUAAAUCAUGAUCUACCCUAAUUGAAAAGAAAAUAUUUGUUUGAUAAAAUCUAAAUUGAAGAUGCAAGAGAAUUAAAGGCGAGAAAAUUAACAUGUGAAUUCAAGAGAUUGAAUCUAUCAGGGUUUCAGAAUUCAUCACUAUUCAACUUAACAAUAACCUAAUUAUCAAUCAAUUCUCAAUUUUAGAGUGACAAUUCAAAACUAAUCUCUAUCUACUCAUAGAUAUAACAAUUAAGUUAGUUAAAAUUAUUUUUAUAUAGGUCGUUUCUGUACUUAAUAUUGUGAUAUCUAAGCAUUUUAUGUAAAAAAUAUUAAAUAAUAAAAAGUCAAAGUUUUCCUAAACAAUGUUAAAUAAAUAAUUUCAUGAAAGACAAUGAAUGAAAAAAAAAUCAUAUAUAAACUUUAUAGAUCCAAACAUAAGUUUAGUCAAAUAUUAACCUUAACAAUCAAUAAUACAUGGCAAAAUUUGUCAAAAGAUUUAUUAAUAUAUGACCAAAUAUAUGAAAUAAAAUCUAAAAUAUUAAAGCAUACGUGUAGGGAAUCAAUUGAAUAAAAGUAAAUUAAUUAAAACAAAAAUCAUCGGAAUGCAAUCCGAAUGUAACCCCAUCUGAUUAAGUUAGGAUCAUAUUCGGAUUGAAUGAAUAUUUUAGAUUAAUUUAGUUUAAGAUCGGAUCGGAUUAAAUUCGGAUGCCAAAAAUCAGCUAAAGUUAGGGGCAACAUCGAUGUGGUUGCCAAUUGCCAAAAAAGGCAAGAUUGUCAAGCCAAACUGCGGGCAGAAGCAGAAUAAUAAGAGCAAUAAUGACAACAAAGCAUUGAUUUCCACCAGGGGUCAGUCCAUCAAGUGCAAUUGCCAUGUUUGGAAAAAGAUUCUCCUGUUUAUCUCCUUCCAAGAUCAAGAAUCAAUCAGUAGAGAUCUAUGUUCACGAGAACUGAAACAAUUAGUCUCCCGUUCUUCCCACAGGCGCAGUAUUGGCUGGUCCGUGGGUUGAUGCGAGCUUGUGGGUACCAACUAGGUUUGUGGUUGCGGGUUCGGGAAUCUGCCCAGUGAUGUCGGUGAUGUCGAUGAGGCUGGUUCGGCUCGUGGCUGCUGGCUAGUUCGUGGAUCGUGAGUUUGGACGGUUUCGUGAACUAAGUCCAAGUCAAGAUGACAAGUUUUUUGUUCAACCGUUAAUAUAGUUUAUAUUUUAGUUUUGAUUUCUUCUUCAAUUUUUUGUUUGCCUGGGUUUUUGAACUUCGCGAGAUGUCGCUGAGUUUGAGAAUAGGGAUGGCAAAACCCAGGGCCGAGUCUGGGUAUUGCAAUGAUCGAACUCUGUUCGGAUGUAAUUGGUCCAGGUCUGGAUCCGGGUCGGGUUUUAAUCUGUAUACUCGAAUUUUAUAUUUUUUAAUAUUAUAUGUGUAUAUAUUUUUUAUUUUUUGUUAAUUUUAUAAGUUUUAAAUUUAUUUCAAUAAAAUUUGACAUGAAAAUAUAAACUUUAAGUAUUUAAAACUUUAUAUAUGUAUAAUAAAUGAGUCAAAUAAAUAUAAAUAUUUAAAAUAAUAUAUAUUUUAUAAUAUUUUUUUAAUAAAAUUCGGGUUCUGGGUUUAUCAAGUGAUGCCCAAAACCGACCCGGCUUCAUACCCAGACCGGGUAAUACUCGGCCCACAAAGCUCGGGUACGGUCCGGGUCCAGACCGAGCAUGUAUUUUUGCCACCUCUAUUUGACAAUAUGGAAUUUUGAUUUUGAUUUUCUAAUUUGCUUUUGUAUUUUAGUUUUUUUUUUGU
Molecule: long non-coding RNA, 1856 nt
Filed under: Citrus x clementina
Lineage: Eukaryota; Viridiplantae; Streptophyta; Magnoliopsida; Sapindales; Rutaceae
Description: Citrus clementina (C. clementina) long non-coding RNA (CCLE_LNC003105)
Source: RNAcentral